Vigna umbellata (rice bean) is the source of this 502-nucleotide non-coding RNA. The record is from RefSeq and is a predicted model, not a curated record. NCBI's taxonomy places the organism in Eukaryota, Viridiplantae, Streptophyta, Magnoliopsida, Fabales, Fabaceae.
AUUACUAUUCUUCUUUUUACCACAGCUCAGUUGAGAUUAGUCCUUCACUUGCUGAGGUCCAAAGAGAAACUGUUGGUGAAGUGCGCAGCCAUAUACCAAAGUUCAGGGUAGAAUGUCGUGAUGCUUCUGACCGGAGUGGAUGGGGGAAUGUGGAGCAACAACCGUGUUGGGUAAUAAUGCUUGAGUGGCUGUUAGCUGCUAUUGCUGCACUCUGAACUGCUAUUAGUAAUGGCCAACUACAAGCAAUCAACCAUUUAGGUAUGGCUAGCAGCUGCUUUAAUUCAUACAUGUAUGAUAAUGGCCAAUGUUGGGAACCUACCGAGACCUGAUUAGCCUGUUCUCAUAGUUCAAGGCACCAUUUUACUGUUUUUGGCAUUAAAAAUUUGAGCUGGUAGUUCCCUGUCAGAAGCUAAGAUCUGGCAAUUGGCUAUCUGCCAUUAUCAGUGCAAACGCAUCAUAAAAAAAUUGAGUCAAUUCUGUGUGUUUUGCUAAGAAAUUUGGU